RNAcentral lists this long non-coding RNA (18735 nucleotides) under Triticum aestivum (bread wheat). RNAcentral describes it as "long non-coding RNA (TAES_LNC025310)". Lineage: Eukaryota; Viridiplantae; Streptophyta; Magnoliopsida; Poales; Poaceae. The record is from RNAcentral.
CUCUUUUGUUGACGUGUACCACUUUUCUGUGUGGCCUAGCGGCAGCGGGGAGGGACAUAGGUAAUUGCCAAAUUAGUUUCCGAGAUGAGUUUCUUGAUAUAAAACAGAACAAAAUGAUUAUGUAUCAUUCUUUCUGUACAUAUUAAUUUGUAUGUUGUGGUUCUUCCUUCAUUGUGCUUAGGUACCAAGGCUGCAUUUGGAAUCCAAUGUUUUACUUACUCAGUGUGCAUGGACUCAUAUGAGUAUGCCGUUGAUUACUGCAACAAGGAGUGCAAAAUACUUGGUUAUGACGGCCAGAAAGGCUACUGCAAGAAGGAGAAUCGUGGCGUGUGUUGUUGUGCCUAAAGUUAAAGACAUGUUAUAUUGUCAUUUUGUAGAAAAUCAUUGCAUGUAUUUGCUUGUCAGAAUACUAAUUUAUAUGGAUUAUACGAGAAUUUCAAUAACAUAUACUGGUAGUUGCUUGCGAAGACCAACUUCUCUAGCCAAUCAACUCUUCAGGUCAUAUGAAUCAACAAUGAGCCAGCUAAAAAGUGGAAGUACUGAUAACUUAAAAUUUUAAAUUAGGGAGUGAAUUAAUGGAAAUAUAUGAGAAAUACAUUGGGUAUAUGAAAAUUUGUAAUUCAACGAUGCUAGUUAAUACCAACUGAUGGAUGUACAACUCAAAAAAAGUCCAUAUUCGAACCCUGGACUAUCACAAAUGUCUAAGAACCAACCCCAAACUUUGAAACAAUCUAUCUUGCAAUUCUAAAUUGUCAAAGUCGAUCAACUUUCAACUUUUCCUCUCCUCAAACCGGUAUUUGGUGCGUUGAAGUGGUUUGGAACAACUGAUCGCCUAGUCGGCUGCCAUGCCACUUAAUAUUUUUCCUGAAUUUGUAUUUUAUUGCAUGUUGUAAUCUGUUUGGCGGGAUCGGCCAUAUAGUUGAUAAAUAAUCAGAUAAUAGCAACGUGAAUUUAAUGGCUACAACUCUUAUAUCCCAAAGAUAUAGAAUCCGGGCUACCGUACUAAACUUUUCUGACACUAGUGUUCAGAAUAGCAUCUCAUGGUCUACCUGCCGUUAGCCUCUCUCUGACUCACUCUCUAUGAUCCUAGGUACCUGCAAGGACGAAGAAUGUAUAUGAGACAAGAUACAUCCAUGAAGCAAUUUUAUGUUACACAUACGGGACAAAUUCAAAGUACUUCUAUAUAUCCCUCCAAUAAAUACAUAGGGUUUUAGGGCAAUGCCUCAACCCAUGAUGAUACCUUAGGUAUGGAGAACAGAUCACAAGUACAAUCCAUCAAACAACACAUCAUGAACACUGAUUUAUAAUAUGUCUUACAAUAAUUGCCUGAUGUGAUAGACGAUUACAAAUUAUGGCUAAUUGGAUGAGUGCUUGGUGGGUGGAGAUGGUGGCGGCUAUGGAAAUGAGAUGGGAAAUGGCGGUGGCUAGGGUUAAUCUGGACGAUGAAGAUUGAGGUCUGGGCGAUGCUCUGUUGCUAUUAUGGGAUUGAGCCCUCCAUGGUAGAUCGGAUAGCUCAUACGAGCGUGUACGAUCAUGUGGAACAUCGUCUUGCUUUGUUCUUCCUGGAGUGUCUCCCGCUUGAUCUCCUCUAUAUCCUCUUUACUCCCUUCCAUGUAUUGGCUUGAUUUCCUCCAUAUUUAGCCCAUUUCCUACGGAAAUAAACUAAAGAUCGGAAAUUUCGAAUCCUUUGCAUUGGUUAGUCAUUUGUAGUAAUAUCAGAGCGAAUAUCUUGGUUGUUAAGAAAUAUAUCAGUUUAUGCUCAUGUAUCAUGAGUGCAAGAACAACAGUUGUCAAUUACACCGAGCUUAGACUUGAUCAUCCUUGACCAACGUCGAGGAAAAUCCAAAACAUAAGGAACUCAGUUGUUUACACCAAAUAAGCGAUUAGGUUUUGCUUCACUUAUGAUCAACACACCUGGAUAACCCUACACUUCUUGACUUCUAAACUUAGUAUAGGUAUAGCGGUGACAUGGUUAUUAUGCAAGUGUUAGUGAAGCAAAGAUAAUCAACACAAAGCUCUUGCUCAACUAGACAAAAUAACAAAGUAACACUUGAUUCUAUUUUUGCUACUGAACACUUGCUUGCCGGGAAUGCACGAAGGUGAUUGCAUUUCUUGAGCAAUGAAAGCAUGUAUUAGGAAGUUAAAGUUAUGCAAAGACGACAUCAUUCUAGAGUAGCUCUAACUCACCCACAAGUGUCUCAUCAUCAAGGCUCUCACGAACUUUAUUUAAAUCAUUGCCUGCUGAACCUUUUGUUCUCUGGUGAUGGGAUGCCAGAGAAAGGAUCGAAAAUAAGGUUUUGUUGUGCUUUAAGUUUGAGUAAUAUGAACUAAUAUGUUGCUACUACAUACUGUAACAUACUCAUAUCCGAAAUCGGAGUCGAAACUCUAGUGGAUCGUUCAUUGUCCACUGGAGUUCUCAGCAUUACAUCAAGAAAAGGUGACAUUCACAUUUACAUGCCUACAUGUGCAUGGAGUAGUAAGACCAUUACACCAGCGUGAAGCUGAAGCGCCAUGUACAAAUAUAGCAAAGGUUUUUGGCAUAAUAUCAUUCACCUUACAACUAAUUUUCUUUGGAAAAUUUUAUCAACAAGGGCUAUAGAGUCUAUUAAAAUGGACACUAUGGGGUUAGGUAUCUCUAACAACAUCUUCUCUAAAAGUUUUUUCAACACCCAAGUCUUGUGAGACUUUCUGUUGUGCAUGGUUAUUCUUCGUUAACAUAUCACUUUAUUUUAAUAGCCUGAUUUUCAUGGAUUACUUCAGAAAGUUACAAAUACAUUUUUGUCUCAAAGUUUUGGAAAGUGGUUGCUCCGGUGCCCUGAGCCAUUCAAUGUUUGUAUUAUUACUAGCAAAAAUGCUCGUGCAUUGCACCGGGAGAGAAAAACACAUGCAUUUAGAUCCAUCACCGCCAAUCAUAAGUCGACUGCCCUCCGAAACAUGACAACUCUUAGAAAGCCGUUAUAUGGUGCACUGCUACCACGUACCAAGAUACAGUAAUAAACCCAUCUAAAAAAAUAUACAGUAGCAGCUGGAACCUCGUCACAUGAUGACAUGCGACACGAACAGACCAUGCAAUGCAACAAACAGGGGAGCCAUUAUGCAUUCAAAUAGCCUCAUAUACUCAAAUUAUUUUCCCUUUAUGUAGAAAGUCACUAUACAGUUGUCAUAGUAAAAGCAAAAGGGCAUAAAUAACCUCAUAUGAAACCAACGCCUAGCUAGCAAAUAUAAGACUUACAUGAUUUCGAAUUAUAUGACAAACUCAUCAUAUAUAGAAUCAAAGUUGAACUAUGAUAUAUAGUAGAUGAGCCCGAGCUGGGGCCAUGCAUGCACACACGAUUAAGAAUAUCAACUGCUGCUAACAUGAGGUCAGAACUAAUGGCCUCACAAAAGAUGAUUAGUUGAUCAGAACAUAGUUCUCUAGAAUAUUCACCUUUGAUAGUAGCUGCUGCAAGCGGAUUCAAUUGUACAUGCAUGGGUAGAUACUGCAUUGCAUCUGCGUUACACCUAACGAUCCUAAUUAAGGUUGCCACCACAGCCACAACCGCGUCUAGAUAUUAAAGGAGGCAUCAUCAGUGGAUUAAUUACUGAAAGGUUGCAUAAUGUCAUCCACGAAGGUGAAUACUCAUAGAACAAAAAACGUGUUACUUAAGAAACAAAGUAGAUGAAUUAGAACAUCGAUGGAUACCAUAUUACCACCUGCGUUGAGGUGAGCCAACCCGUUGACCCCGCCAUGGUCUCUAGAUGCAGCUGAUAGUCAUGGUCUGAAGCGACCCAGCCGUCGUCGACGGUGCGUAAAUCACUGAGGCCUCCGCCGACAACCCUUGUCUACCACCUCAUCGGCAGCGUGGGGGCUUGCAGCUGCGCCAGCUACACCGGGGUUGAGCUCGCAUGUCACUGCCGUCCCUGGACUGUGCACACCGCCUCUGCAAGCUAGUGCACCGAUGUUCCUAUCUGUCUGAGCUCGUGCGUAGGCGGACACAACCUAGCCAUGGGCAUGCACACUCUGCUUGGAGCCUAGCCCAACACCUACGUCAUGGCAUUAACCAUCGAUAAUCUUAUGAGCCUGAUAUUGACCAGAUCGAUAUGAGGAUUGAUGGAGACUCCGUCCAUGGCAACCAAUGGGACAAUUUGUGAACUCAGAUUGUGUUGCACAGUUAGGGGGUCCAUGACGGCACACUUCAUGGAGGCGAGGACGCAUGGGAGACAGAUGCAUGGCAUGCGAUUCUAUGAUCGUGAAUUCCGCAGGGAGUGUUGGCUAUUGGGGUGCGCAGGACGGCAACCACGACGGUGUCGGCGGCGGUUGCUGCUCGUGGUCAGGCAGGGAAGCAACACGGCAUCAGCGGUGACUGCUCGUGGUCGCGCAAGACGGCAACCACGACGGCGGCGGAGGCGGCUGUUCAUGCUCGCGCAGCGAAGCAACACGGCGUCGGCGGCGACUGCUCGAUGUCACGCAGGGAAGGAGCGCCUGGGACAGGGGGAACUCGAAUCUAAGAGAGGAGAGGAGACAGGUUAAUUAGCCCUGGCUGGUUUUCUCCCAAUUUAUGUAGCAGACUUUUUUUAGCGUGGCGUGCACCCGCGGAGGCUGGUUCCUGUUGUUUUUUUAUCUGACGGUGAUACACAUACUAAACUUAUCUUAUUUGGUGAUAGAUUCCUGAGCCGGAUAUAGACGCAUGGUGAGUUGCAACACUUCGACGGCUUAUAGGGAAAGAUUGAUUGUGGGUUAAUUCUCUAACGCUGUGUUUGGAUGUCUGUAUUGGGCUGUUGAAUUGGAUUUAGUAUUGGGCUAACCCCAAUACAGGUGUUCGGAUGCACUCUGAAACAACAGACUGAAACGGAAACGAAUAUGAGGCGUUUUCGCUCACACGCGCCCACCCGUCGCUACAAUUCGGAGGUCUGGACCUCCGAUUUCCGCCGAAUUGCCUCACGCCCGCAAAACAAAACGUUUUGGGCCUUUAUUUCCUCCCUCCACCAUGAGACAGAAGGGAUCGAGGGAAGAGAGUGGCGCCCUCGCAGAUCGACGGCGGCGCUCAGUUAGAUGCACCAUGGCGGCGUGGUUAUGGUGGCCGCCCUUCCAUUCCCUUCUUCCUCCGCCGCCACCCCUUCCCCUCCCCCGGCGCCACCCCUUCCCGUUCUCUCUUGCCCUGCCCGCCGUGGCCAGAUCCCAUCUGAACCGCCGACGGCUGCAGUCCCCUCCGGCGCCGGCCUUCCCUUCCUUCCUGGCCCUGCGGUGGCCAUCUCUUCUCCCUUCAGCGCUGGCCCUCCCCCUCCUUCCCAUCGGAGCCCAUCUCUUCUCCCUGGGCCCUCCUCAGCAGCCCCUUCUUCUCUAGCCGUGGUGGCCCUCUGUGCCGCCGGAGCCUUCUUCCCUUGCUCCACCCAGCCCCUGCUCUAAUUCUUCUUCUUCAAUCCCCUUGUCAUGUUGUUCUGAUUCAUUUGCUACCCGCUGAUGUAUUUGCAGGUUGGCCUAAAAAUUGGAAUCCCUCUUGUAUGAAUAUGAUGCAAUUUUGUGAACCAAUAUAUGGUCUGAUCUCUGAUGCAUGCUUAUGUGUGAUAUGGGGAUAUGAUACAUGCUUAUGUGUGAUAUUGGGAUAUGAUGCAUGCUUAUGUGAUCUGAUGCAUGCUUAUGUGUGAUGUUCCCGUUUGUAUUGUUGAACUUGGACCUAUCUAAACUAUUUUUUUGUUACAUUUGGAACAAUGUAUUGUUCAACUACAACUUAUUUGAACAAUUGUAUUGUUAAAUUUGAAACUAUCUCUUCUUGUCGUUGAGAAUUUGGAACACCUAUUUAAGCUAUAGGUGUUGUACUUUGUUGGUGUAAAAUAUUUUUUUUGUUUUUGCGUCAAUAUUAUAUGAUGUCGUCCUCGAUUUCUAGAAUAUAUGAUUAAAAAUGCUAUAUAAUCAUCCAAUUAUAGUCACACGAUAUAUAACUUCUGUUUUUUAUGCAUAUACUAAUGUUGCUAUCAAUUCCAUGGUUUGACAUCCAAACAUGGUUCCGUAUUGAAACCUCGGAACAAUUCCGUGAGCUAAUACAAUAAACAUCCAAACAAGCGAAUUCGUAUUCAUGUCCAUUACAAUUUCCUGGCUGAAUUGGAAUUGAAACCAAUACAAUACGGAGGCUUCCAAUACAGACAUCCAAACGCAGCGUAAGACAAUAGGGACUUUUUUGCAAAAAUGUCACGACGGUGAACCCGGAGACUCAAUUCGUGUUUUAUUAUUAGGGAGAGAUAUGAAAUUUAAUGUGCAUGGAAACGACCUCUAAAAUGUAACUUUGGCCCAUAAUAUUUUUGUUAUGUAAGGAUACAAGUCAAUAUGGCAAUUAGAUUAUACCAAAACUAGGAAGAAACCAUUAAUACGAAAAAUGAUAAAGGGGCAAGAAUCAUUGUGCAUUCGCUCCUCUUUAUAAACACCGGUGCUAGAAAUAUACGUUCAGAGAAGGAAAACAUCAAGAGAAAAUAAACACCGAUGCUGGAAAGAUACGUUCAGAGAAGGACAACAUCAAGAGAAAAUAAGUAAUAGCAAGGCAGUCUUGAUGAUGGCACUUAUCAAGAACAAGACACGCAUUCUCUUUUGUGUUGCUCUUUUGUUGACGUGUACCACUUUUCUGUGUGGCCUAGCGGCAGCGGGGAGGGACGUAGGUAAUUUCCAAAUUAGUUUCCUAGAUGAGUUUCUUGAUAUAAAACAGACCCAAAUGAUUAUGUAUCAUUCUUUCCAUACAUAUUAAUUUGUAUGUUGUGGUGCUUCCUUCAUUGUGUUUAGGUACCAAGGCUGCAUUUGGAAUCCAAUGUUUUACUUACUCAGUGUGCAUGGACUCAUAUCAGUAUGCCGUUCAUUAUUGCAACAAGGAGUGCAAAAUACUUGGUUAUGACGGCCAGAAAGGCUACUGCAAGAACGAGAAUCGUGGUGUGUGUCCAGAAGACCGGACAUUAUGCCAAGGAAUGUCCUGAAGCCCAAAAUGGAAAUGGCAAUGGAAGCUCUGGGAAGAAGCCGAACGCUUUCAAUAGGGGACAGGUGAACCACGUAAAUGUGGAGGAAGUUGAAGCCCAGCCCGAUGUAGUAAUAGGUAAGUUUUUGGUUAAGUCAUUUACUGCACUCGUUCUUUUUGAUACUGGUGCAUCCCAUUCAUACAUAUCAAGGGGAUUUGUGGAUAAGUAUAAAAUGCCAACCCAAGCCCUUAGGUCAUCCAUGUUAGUAACCUCGCCUAGAACAGAGUAUAUGGCUAGUCUAUGGUGUGAUCGGUUACCAUUAAGGAUUGGUAACUAUGUUUUUCCCUCGGACCUAAUAGUAUUGGAAUCUCAAGGAUUGGAUGUGAUAUUAGGCAUGCAUUGGUUAUCGAAGUAUGAAGGGAACAUUGAAUGUGACAGUAAGGCAAUUUUGUUUACCACCCCAGAAGGAAGAAGGAUCAAGUAUGUAUCCCGGCAUGUGCCGAAAAGGACUCAAGUAAAUUGCCUAACAGGAGUUGUGCAAGAGGAAGUACCAGUAGUGAAGGAUUUCCCUGAUGUUUUUCCAGAAGAGUUGCCAGGCAUGCCACCGGAUAGAGAUAUUGAGUUUUUGAUUGAGCUUUUGCCAGGCAUAGGGCCAAUAUCUAAGAGACCAUAUAGGAUGCCCGCAAAGAAUUUGGUGGAGAUUAAGAAGCAGAUUAAGGAGUUACUGGAUAAAGGUUAUAUUCGCCCAAGUUCUUCACCUUGGGGAUCGCCAGUACUUCUAGUGGAGAAGAAGCAUGGAUCGUGAAGGAUGGUCGUUGAUUAUCGAGGAUUGAAUGAAGUAACCAUCAAGAAAAAGUACCCACUACCGAAGAUCAAUGAUUUGUUUGAUCGGUUGCAAGGAGCUAAGGUAUUUUCCAAGAUCGACCUGCGAUCAGGAUACCAUCAGUUGAAGAUUCAAGAACAGGAUAUUCCUAAAGCGACUUUUACCACCAGGUAUGGGCUAUACGAGUAUACCAUUAUGUCAUUUGGUCUGACUAACGCACCUGCAUAUUUUAUGAACAUGAUGAACAAAGUGUUUAUGGAGUUUUUUGAUAAGUUCGUCAUAGUGUUCAUUGAUGAUAUCCUGGUUUACUCGAAGAAUGAAGAGGAGCAUAAGGAGCAUUUGCGUUUGGUACUUGGUAAGCUCAAAGAACAUCAGUUAUAUGCCAAGUUUAGCAAAUGUGAGUUUUGGUUGAAGGAAGUUGGAUUUCUCGGACAUGUUAUAUCUGGAGAAGGUAUAGCAGUGGAUCCCACCAAGGUUGACACUGUGACAAAUUGGGAAGCUCCAACAACAGUUGGAGAGAUCCGGAGUUUUCUUGGACAUGGAGGAUACUAUCGGAGAUUUAUUGAAAAUUUCUCUCAGAUUGCAAAACCUAUAACGGAGUUGCUGAAGAAGGAUACCAAGUUCAUAUGGACUGAGGAAUGUGAGGCUAGUUUCCAGGAGUUGAAGAAACGUUUGGUUACAUCACCAGUGUUGAUUUUGCCAGAUCAGACCAAGGAUUAUGAGGUGUAUUGCGACGCUUCACGUCGAGGACAUGGAGCAGUGCUUAUACAGGAAGGAAGAGUUGUCUCAUAUGCCUCACGACAUCUCAAGCCUCAUGAGUUGAAUUAUGCUAUGCAUGAUUUGGAGUUAGCAGCCGUAGUGCAUGCAUUGAAGACUUGGAGAUAUCUUCUCAUUGGAAACCAUUGUGAGGUGUACACGGACCACAAGAGUUUGAAGUACAUUUUCACGCAGAAGGAGUUGAAUCUCAGACAAAGGAGAUGGUUGGAACUCAUCAAGGAUUAUGAUAUGAGAUUGCAUUAUCACCCUGGAAAGGCUAACGUAGUAUCUGACGCGUUGAGCCGUAAAAUUCAUGUCAACACCUUAAUGACAUGAGAUUUACCAAGGGAGUUAGCUGAAAAUCAUCGUGAGCUAUGUUUGGAAAUAGUUCCGAGAGGCUAUGUAGCAGCAUUGGAGAUUCAGUCUACGUUGAUGGAUAAGAUCAGAGAAGCCCAGAAGACUGACAAGGAGAUUGCCUCUAUUAAGGAGAAAAUGAGCAAAGGAAAAGAUAAAGGAUUUCGUGAUGAUGAGCACGAUACCUUAUGGUUUGAAGACCGUGUUUCACCUAGGGAAUACCAAGAUGUAUUUGGAUUUGAGGAUAUUUUCUGGUGGACCGGAAUGAAGAAGUAUAUUGCGGAGCAUGUAGCAGUUUGUGAUGUAUGUCAGAGAGUAAAGGCGGAACAUCAAAAGCCAACAGGAUUGCUACAACCAUUGCCGAUACCCGAAUGGAAGUGGGAUAAGUUAGGCAUGGAUUUUAUCACCGGAUUGCCCAGAAAUCGUUCAGGCUAUGACUCGAUAUGGGUUGUAGUCGACCGUUUGACAAAGGUAGCUCUUUCAUCCUAGUGAAGACUACCUAUACCAGUGCAAAGUUGGCAAAGAUAUAAAUGACCAGAAUCGUAUGUCUGCAUGGAGUUCCAAGGAGCAUUGUAUAAGAUAGAGGAACCCAGUUUACCUCAAAGUUCUGGAAUCAGUUGCAUGAAACCCUGGGUACCAGGCUAGAAUUCAAUACAACUUUCCAUCCGCAGAUAGAUGGACAGACCGAGAGAGUCAAUCAGAUUUUGGAGGAUAUGCUGAGAGCUUGUGCGCUAGAUUACGGAUCUAGUUGGGACGAGAAUUUGUCAUACGCAGAGUUCUCCUAUAACAACAGUUAUCAAUCCAGUUUGAAGAUGGCCCCUUUCGAAGCUCUGUACGGAAGGAGGUGCAGGACCCCAUUGUCGUGGGAUGAAGUUGGAGACCGCUAGUUGUUUGGACUGGAUCUGAUUAAGGAGUCUGAACAGAAAGUAAAAUUGAUUCAUGAUAGAAUCAAGGUAGCCCAGUCUAGGCAGAAGAGCUACGCACACUCAAAACGCAAGGAAACAGUUUACGAAGUCGGAGACCGAGUUUAUCUUCGAGUAUCUCCACUUCGAGGAGUUAAGUGCUUUGGAGUUAAGGGAAAGUUAGCGCCCCAUUUUGCAGGACCAUACAAGGUUUUGGAACGUAUGGGAGAAGUAGCUUAUAUGUUGGAAUUGCCCGAAGGAUUGUCAGGAAUUCAUGACGUGUUCCACGUUUCCUAGUUGAAGAAGUGCCACACAGAGAUGGCUGACAUACCGCUGAGAGACACAGUGCCGCUGGAAGCGGUUCAGUUGGACAGUGAUUUGACUAGUGGGGAUACUCGAGUAUCUUAACUUUGCUGAGGAGAAACCAGUCAAGAUUCUUGAGUAUGCCAGCCGAGUCACCCGCAGCAAAGUUAUCAAGUUUUGCAAAGUUCAGUGGAGCCACCACACGGAAGAUGAAGCUACCUAGGAACGAGAGGAAGAACUGUUGAAAGACCUCCCUCACCUAUUUUCUAGCUAACCCGAAUCUCAAGGGCGAGAUUCAUCUUAAGGGGGGUAGGUUUGUAACAUCCCAAAUUUUCAAUUUGGAAUGUUAUACAAUAGAUCAUCAUUGCAUAUCAUAUUUUAUCGCAUUUGGUUGAUCCUAGAAAUUUCACGCAACUCAAGGACCCUCGGAGAGAGUUGGGUAUUUCAUUAUUUUCAUAUUUGAGUUUUCUCAAAUUUUGAAAAUAGGAUAAUUUGAUUUUAUUUAUUUUAUCUUCAAUUAUUUCUACUAUAAAAAAAUUAUGAGAGUGGGAAUAAAAUGACUUUCCCAAAAUAUAGAAAUAUUGGGGAUUUAAUAAAAAAAUCAAAUCAGAUUUUAUUUUGCUUUUAUUUGCUAUUUUAUUUGAAUUUAGGAAAAAUUGCACGUUUUCAAAAAUUGCAUUUAGGGCCAAGAAAAUGUUCAUCCUGUUCUAAAUAUUUUAUUUAGAGGGUAAAAAUUUGUUUUGGCAUUUUUAGAAGUUUAUUUAUUUUUCUAGAAUUUUUUUUAGUCGCAGCAAAAUUGUUUAAAAAAAGAGACCCCGUGCCCAACUUGGCCAAGGGCCCAGCCGAGCAGGCCGGCCCUGCCAGCCGUAGCCGCCUCCCGCCGAGUCGGGACAGGAGGCCCGACCGCCGCCAUCGGCCGAGUCUGGGGAGGACCCGCCUCCAGGCCGACCCCUUCCCCAAGUCGCCGCCCCCCCUUUAUAACCCCGCCGCCGCCCGCCUGCAGCCCCACACCCGCGCCGUAGCCGCCACCCCGGCGCCGCGUCAGAGCUACCGCCCCGCACCACCCGCCGCCCGCCGGAGCCCCGAGUCGAGGUAGCCGCUGCCCCGGUUUUUUUUGGAAAAAGCCGUUUCGGUUUUUUUUUGAAAACCCUAGUUUUUGUUUUUUUAAUAGAUCGGCUUUUCUCUGGUUUAUCUUUUUAGCGAGCGUUCGCUCGUACGUUCGUUUUAAUGAACGCGUUCUUCGUUUAGUUCCUGUUAACGAACGUCCGUUCUAUAACCUGUUCGUCGUUUUUCUUUUUCUCGGAUUAAAUCCGCGAUUUUCUGAUCGCGAUUUCUGAUCCGAUGUUUGUUUUAGUUUAGGUUUUUGCUCGUUUGUCAGAAUCAGGCGAUUCAAGCACCUGGAGUUUCGUCUCGAAGCCCUCUUUCCGUUUAACCAACUCAAACAAGUUUUUUCCUCAGUAAAAUUUGACCUAGAUUCAAAAUAGUAAACAAAGCCUGUUUCUUUUGCCGUUUGUCUUUCGUUGCUUCAUUCGAUUUGAUUCUUUUUGCCGACCGGAGUUCUUAAAUUGAACUAUCUGGUUAGAUCUCUUAUUCGAGUUUUACUUGUGCAUUAGAUGAGUACUUAUUGUAUGCUUGUUUGUUUGCGAUGGAUUACCCGGAGUGCGCCGCUUGUUACUUCGAAUCGCUAGGUUUUGCGGAUCAUCAGCAAAGCAAGUAACACUUUGAUCAUACCUUCCUACUACCCAGUUUUAUUGCAUUAGAUCAAUCCUCACACAUUGCAUUGACUAGGAUCUAAUUAAAUUGUGUGUUUGGGAAGUAGAUGAGGUAGUACAUAUUACCUGUUAUUAUCAAACCUUUGGGAGUUACUUCUACGUUUGCUUAUUUUGCCAUGCUAUGCCAGUAGACGUGGUUUGGGUGAGUGAAAUCCAUGACAGAUGUGAGUUUGUUAAAUUAAGGGUUUAUCUAAGGUGGCAACUUAAAUACACAUCUGGGUGGAUUGAGGCACCUGGGUAUUCCAGCGAUUGCUUGUUUUUCUUUGGACCGCCACCCAGGCUCAAAGGGAUCAUGAGAUUAUUCAUGCUAGAAACUUCCGUGUGCAGCCACAAGCUACUAUGGGCUCUAGCAUAGUUGACUAAGUCGUGCGAACUCUUACAGUGGUAGACUAGAAGAUGUAGGGGAUGUAGGUUGUACGGUCUACCCAUCGUAAGGUGCUAGCGCUUCUAAAAGACUAUGUCUUGGUCAUCCGCUUCUCAAACACCAUGCAGUGCGAGAAAACCAAUGGAGGAGAUCGAGUCUUGUGGGGAAAAGUGCGCAAACCUCUGCAGAGUGUAUAAACUAAUCAUGGUUAGCCGUGUCCUCGGUUAUGGACAUCCUGAGUAUCUAGUACUUGGAUUAUCAUGUGAAUCUCAUCAUGCUACUCUAAUUAAUUUGUUGGUUCUUAAUGAUGAUGCUUAAUUCGGAUUAAGAAUGUUGUCAACCAUUCGCAAUGUUUAACAACUACCAUGAUAGUUAAAUAAAAUUUAUUUCUUUGCAGUAGGGAAAAAUUGGCUUUACGCAAAACUGUAACCAUAGAGCUUUCCACCAGCCAAAUAUGCAUAUAGUAUAGCCUAUUUUCUUUCUUUGCUCUCUAUGUGUUACAUUGCCAGCAUAUUCCAUGUGCUGACCCAUUUCGGGCCGCAACGUUCAUGUUCCAGACUUUUUAGACGACGAGUAAGGUGCUUUUAGGUCAUGGUUCUAUACUCAGUGAUGCCGUUGGAGUUGAUCGACUCACUUAUCUUUCAAGCCUUCCACUGUUAUCGUUAUAUUAGAUGACCUUAAGCCAUUAUUAUUGUAAUAAGUUCUCUUUUGAGACUCUCGAUGUAAUAAGUGUGUGAUUGCUACUCUGUUAUAAAUCCUUCAAGUAAUGUGUGGUGUCAGCAUUACUGAUCCAGGGAUGACAUAUGAGCACAGAGAUUGGACCGUUUGAGGUUUGAUCGCUACAAUUACACCAGCGUGAAGCUGAAGCGCCAUGUACGAAUAUUGCAAAGGUUUUUGGCAUAAUAUCAUUCACCUUACAACUAAGUUUCUUUGGAAAAUUUUAUCCACAAGGGCUAUAGAGUCUAUUGAAAUUGACACUAUGGGGUUAGGUAUCUCUAACAACAUUUUCUCUAAAAGUAUUUUCAACACCCAAGUCUUGUGAGACUUAAUGUUGUGCAUGGUUAUUCUUUGUUAACAUAUCACUUUAUUUUAAUAGCCUGAUUUUCAUGGAUUACUUCAGAAAGUUACAAAUACAUAUUUUUUUCUCUAAGUUUUGGAAAGUGGUUACUCCGGUGCCCUGAGCCAUUCAAUGUUCGUAUUAUUAUAUGAAAUUUAAUGUGCAUGGAAACGACCUCUAAAAUGCAACUUUGGCCCAUAAUAUUUUUGGUAUGUAAGGAUACAAGUCAAGGUGGCAAUUAGAUUGUACCAAAACUAGGAAGAAACCAUUAAUACGAAAAAUGAUAAAGGGGCAAGAAUCAUUGUUCAUUCGCUCUUCUUUAUAAACACCAGUGCUAGAAAUAUACGUUCAGAGAAGCACAUCAUUAAGAGAAAAUAAGUAAUAGCAAGGCAGUCUUGAUGAUGGUACUUAUCAACAACAAGACACGCAUUCUCUUUUGUGUUGCUCUUUUGUUGACGUGUACCACUUUUCUGUGUGGCCUAGCGGCAGCGGGGAGGGACGUAGCUAAUUUCCAAAUUAGUUUCCUAGAUGAGUUUCUUUAUACAAAACUGAUCCAAAUGAUUAUGUAUCAUUGUUUCCAUACAUAUUAAUUUAUAUGUUGUGGUGCUUCCUUCAUUGUGUUUAGGUACCAAGGCUGCAUUUGGAAUCCAAUGUUUUACUUACUUAGUGUGCAUGGACUCAUAUGAGUAUGCCGUUGAUUACUGCAACAAGAAGUGCAAAAUACUUGGUUAUGACGGCCAGAAAGGCUACUGAAAGAAGGAGAAUCGUGGCGUGUGUUGUUGUGCCUAAAGUUAAAGACAUGUUAUAUUGUCAUUUUGCAGAAAAUCAUUGCAUGUAUUUGCUUCUCAGAAUACUAAUUUAUAUGGAUUAUACGAUAAUUUCAAUAACAUAUACUGGUAGUUGCUUUCGAAGACCAACUUGACUAGACGAUCAACUCUUCAGGUCAUAUGAAUCAACAAUGAGCCAGCUAAAAACUGGAAGUACUGAUAACUUAAAAAAUUAAAUUGGGGAGUGAAUUAAUGGAAAUAUAUGAGAAAUACAUUGGGUAUAUGAAAAUUUGUCAUUCAACGAUGCUAGUUAAUACCAACUGAUGGAUGUACAACUCAAAAAAAAGUCCAUAUUUGAUCCCUGAACUAUCACAAAUGUCUAAAAACCAACCCCAAACUUUGAAAAAAUCUAUCUUGCAAUUCUAAAUUGUCAAAGUCGAUCAACUUUCAACUUUUCCUCUCCUCAAACCGGUAUUUGGUGCGUUGAAGUGGUUUGGAACAAUUGAUCUCCUAGUCGGCUGCCAUGUCACUUAAUAUUUUUCCUGAAUAUGUAUUUUAUUGCAUGUUGUAAUAUGUUUGGCGGCAUCGCCGUAUAGUUGAGAAAUAACCAUAUAAUAGCAAUGGGCAUAUAACGGCUACAACUCUUAUAUCCGAAAGAUAUAGGAUCCGGGCUACCAUACUAAACUUUUCUGUCACUAGUGAUCAGAAUAGUACUUCAUGGUCUACCUGCCGUUAGCCUCUCUCUGACUCACUCGAUGUGAUCCUAGGUACCUACAAGGACGAAGAAUGUAGAUGAGACAAGAGACAUCCAUGAAGCAAUUUUAUGUUACACAUACGGGACAAAUUCAAAGUACUUCUAUAUAUCCCUCCAAUAAAUACAUAGGGUUGUAGGGCUAUGCCUCAACCCAUGAUGAUACCUUAGAUAUGGAGAACAGAUCACAAGUACAAUCCAUCAAACAACACAUCAUGAAUAUUGAUUUAUAAUAUGUCUUACAAUAAUUGCCGGAUGUGAUAGACGAUUACAAAGUAUGGCUAGUUGGAUUAGUGCUUGGUGGGUGGAGAUGGUGGCGGCUAUGGAAAUGAGAUGGGAAAUGGCGGUGGCUAGGGUUAAUUUGGACGAUGAAGAUUGAGGUCUGGGCGAUGCUCUGUUGCUAUUAUGGGAUUGAGCCCUUCAUGGUAGAUCGGAUAGCUCAUACGAGCGUGUACGAUCGUGUGGAACAUCGUCUUGCUUUGUUCUUCCGGGAGUGUCUCCCGCUUGAUCUCCUCUAUAUCGUCUUUACUCCCUUCCAUGUAUUGGCUUGAUUUCCUCCAUAUUUAGCCCAUUUCCUACAGAAAUAAACUAAAGAUUGGACAUUUCGAAUCCUUUGCAUUGGUUAGUCGUUUGUAGUAAUAUCAGAGCGAAUAUCUUGGUUUUUAAGAAAUAUAUUGGUUUAUGCUCAUGUAUCUUGAGUGCAAGAACAACAAUCGUCAACUCCAUCAAGCUUAGACUUGAUCAUCCUCGACCAACAUAGAGGCAAAUCCAAAACGUAAGGAACUCAGUUGUUUACACCAAAUAAAUGAGUAGGUUUUGCUUCACUUAUGAUCAGUGCACCUAGAUAACCCUACACUUCUUGACUUCUAAACUUAGUAUAGGUAUAGCGGUGACAUGGUUAUUAUGCAAGUCUUAUUGAAGCAAAGAUAAUCAACACAAAGCUCUUGCUCAACUAGACAAAAUAACAAAGUAACACUUGAUUCUAUUUUUUCUACUGAACACUUGCUUGCCAGGAAUGCACGAAGGUGAUUGCAUUUCUGGAGCAAUGAAAGCAUGUAUUAGGGAGUUAAAGUUAUGCAAAGACACAUCAUUCUAGAGUAGCUCUAACUCACCCACAAGUGUCUCAUCAUCAAGGCUCUCAUGAACUUUAUUUAAAUUAUUGCCUGCUGAAUCUUUUGUUGUCUGGUGAUGGGAUGCCAAAGAAAGGAUCAAAAAUAAGGUUUUGUUGUGCUUUAAGUUUGAGUAAUAUGAACUAAUAUGUUGCUACUACGUACCGUAACAUACUCAUAUCCGAAAUUGGAGUCGAAAUUCUAGUGGGUCGUUCAUUGUCCAGUGGAGUACUCAGCAUUACAUCAAGAAAGGUGACAUUCACAUUUACAUGCCUACACGUGCAUGGAGUAGUAAGACCAUUACACCAGCAUGAAGCUGAAGCGCCAUGUACAAAUAUAGAAAAGGUUUUUGGCAUAAUAUCAUUCACCUCACAACUAAUUUUCUUUGGAAAAUUUUAUCCACAAGGGCUAUAGAGUCUAUUAAAAUGGACACUAUGGGGUUAGGUAUCUCUGACAACAUCUUCUCUAAAAGUUUUUUCAACACCCAAGUCUUGUGAGACUUUCUGUUGUGCAUGGCUAUUCUUCGUUAACAUAUCACUUUAUUUUAACAGCCUAAUUUUCAUGGAUUACUUCAGAAAGUUACAAAUACAUUUUUCUCUCUAAGUUUUGGAAAGUGGUUGCUCCGGUGCCCUGAGCCAUUCAAUGUUUGUAUUAUUACUAGCAAAAAUGCCCGCGCAUUGCACCGGGAGAGAAAAACACAUGCAUUUAGAUCCAUCACCGCCAAUCAUAAGUUGACUGCCCUCCGAAACAUGACAACUCUUAGAAAGCCAUUAUAUGGUGCACGGCUACCACGAACCAAGAUACAGUAACAACCCAUCUAAAAAAUAUACAGUAGCAACUGGAACCUCAUCACAUGAUCACAUACGAUGCGAACAGACCAUGCAAUGCAACAAACAGGGGAGCCAUUUGCAUUCAAAUAGCCUCAUAUACUCAAAUAAUUUUCCCUUUAUGUAGAAAGUCACUAUACAGUUGUCAUAGUAAAAGCAAAAGGGAAUAAAUAACCUGAUAUGAAACCAACGCCUAGCUAGCAAAUAUAAGACUUACAUGAUUUCGAAUUAUAUGACAAACUCAUCAUAUAUAGAAUCAAAGUUGAACUAUGAUAUAUAGUAGAUGAGCCCGAGAUGGGGCCAUGCAUGCACACACGAUUAAGAAUAUCAACUUCUGCUAACAUGAGGUCAGAACUAAUGGCCUCACAAAAGAUGAUUAGUUGAUCAGAACAUAGUUCUCCAAAAUAUUCACCUUUGAAAGUAGCUGCUGCAACCGGAUUCGAUUGUCCAUGCAUGGGUAGAUAAUCUUAUGAGCCUGAUAUUGACCAGAUCGAUAUGAGGAUUGAUGGAGACUUCGUCCAUGGCAACCAAUGGGACAAUUUGUGAAAUCAGAUUGUGUUGCAUAGUCAGGGGGUCCGUGAUGGCGCACUUCAUGGAGGCGAGGACGCAUGGGAGACAGAUGCAUGGCAUGUGACUCUAUGAUUGUGAAUUCUGCAGGGAGUGUUGGCUAUUGGGGUGCGCAGGACGGCAACCACGACGGUGUCAGCUGCGGCUGCUGCUCGUGGUCAGGGAGGGAAGCAACACGGCAUCGGCGGCGACUGCUCGUGGUCGCGCAAGACGGCAACCACGACGGCGGCGGCGGCGGCUGUUCGUGCUCGCGCAGCGAAGCAACAUGGCGUCGGUGGCGACUGCUCGAGGUAACGCAGGGAAGGAGCGCCUGGGACAGGGGGAACUCGAAUCUAUGAGAGGAGAGGAGAUGGGUUAAUUAGCCUUGGCUGGUUUUCUCCCGAUUUAUGUAGCUGACUUUUUUUAGCAUGGCGUGCGCCUGUGGAGGCUGGUUCCUGUUGUUUUUUUAUCUGACGGUGAUACACAUAGUAAACUUAUCUUAUUUGGUGACUGAUUCCUGAGCCGGAUAUAGACGCAUGGUGAGUUGCAACACUUCGACGGCUUAUAGGGAAAGAUUGAUUGUGGGUUAAUUCUCUAAGAUAAUAGGGACUUUUUUGCAAAAAUGUCACGACGGUGAACCCGGAUACUCAAUCCGUGCUUUAUUAUUAGGGAGAGAUAUGAAAUUUAAUGUGCAUGGAAACGACCUCUAAAAUGUAACGUUGGCCCAUAAUAUUUUUGUUAUGUAAGGAUACAAGUCAAUAUGGCCAUUAGAUUAUACCAAAACUAGGAAGAAACCAUUAAUACGAAAAAUGAUAAAGGGGCAAGAAUCAUUGUGCAUUCGCUCCUCUUUAUAAAUACUGGUGCUAGAAAGAUACAUUCAGAGAAGGACAACUUCAAGAGAAAAUAAACACCGGUGCUGGAAAGAUACGUUCAGAGAAGGACAACAUCAAGAGAAAAUAAGUAAUAGCAAGGCAGUCUUGAUGAUGGCACUUAUCAAGAACAAGGCACGCAUUCUAUUUUGUGUUGCUCUUUUGUUGACGUGUACCACUUUUCUGUGUGGCCUAGCGGCAGCGGGGAGGGAUGUAGGUAAUUUCCAAAUUAGUUUCCUAGAUGAGUUUCUUGAUAUAAAACAGACCCAAAUGAUUAUGUAUCAUUCUUUCCAUACAUAUUAAUUUGUAUGUUGUGGUGCUUCCUUCAUUGUGUUUAGGUACCAAGGCUGCAUUUGGAAUCCAAUGUUUUACUUACUCAGUGUGCAUGGACUCAUAUCAGUAUGCCGUUGAUUACUGCAACAAGGAGUGCAAAAUACUUGGUUAUGACGGCCAGAAAGGCUACUGCAAGAUGGAGAAUCAUGGCGUGUGUUGUUGUGCCUAAAGUUAAAGACAUGUUAUAUUGUCAUUUUGUAGAAAAUCAUUGCAUGUAUUUGCUUGUCAGAAUACUAAUUUAUAUGGAUUAUACGAGAAUUUCAAUAACAUACACUGGUAGUUGCUUG